This 583-nucleotide ribosomal RNA is filed under the name uncultured bacterium. RNAcentral describes it as "bacterial SSU rRNA". It matches the Rfam family "Bacterial small subunit ribosomal RNA", at positions 861 to 1443 of the family's 1533-position model. The record is from RNAcentral.
UAAGUUGACCGCCUGGGGAGUACGGCCGCAAGGUUAAAACUCAAAUGAAUUGACGGGGGCCCGCACAAGCGGUGGAGCAUGUGGUUUAAUUCGAAGCAACGCGAAGAACCUUACCAGGUCUUGACAUCCUCGGAACUUGGCAGAGAUGCCUUGGUGCCUUCGGGAGCCGAGUGACAGGUGCUGCAUGGCCGUCGUCAGCUCGUGUCGUGAGAUGUUGGGUUAAGUCCCGUAACGAGCGCAACCCUUGUCCUUAGUUGCCAGCACGUCAUGGUGGGAACUCUAGGGAGACUGCCGGUGACAAACCGGAGGAAGGUGGGGACGACGUCAGGUCAUCAUGGCCCUUACGACCUGGGCUACACACGUGCUACAAUGGCUGGUACAGAGGGUUGCGAAGUCGCGAGGCGAAGCUAAUCCCUUAAAGCCAGUCGUAGUCCGGAUCGGAGUCUGCAACUCGACUCCGUGAAGUCGGAAUCGCUAGUAAUCGCGGAUCAGAAUGCCGCGGUGAAUACGUUCCCGGGCCUUGUACACACCGCCCGUCACACCAUGGGAGUGGAUUGCACCAGAAGUGGCUAGUCUAACUACG